GGGCGGUUAGCUCAGUUGGUAGAGCAUUGCUUUCACACGGCAAGGGUCACAGGUUCAAGUCCUGUACCGCCCA
This 73-nucleotide transfer RNA is filed under the name Arenimonas donghaensis DSM 18148 = HO3-R19. It matches the Rfam family "tRNA". From Rfam's summary of the family: Transfer RNA (tRNA) molecules are approximately 80 nucleotides in length. Their secondary structure includes four short double-helical elements and three loops (D, anti-codon, and T loops). Lineage: Bacteria; Pseudomonadati; Pseudomonadota; Gammaproteobacteria; Lysobacterales; Lysobacteraceae. The record is from Rfam by way of RNAcentral.